RNA transcript from Pistacia vera, 2294 nucleotides. It is a transcript of the gene named protein DETOXIFICATION 46, chloroplastic-like, with no coding region annotated. NCBI's taxonomy places the organism in Eukaryota, Viridiplantae, Streptophyta, Magnoliopsida, Sapindales, Anacardiaceae. The transcript has 8 exons. The record is from RefSeq and is a predicted model, not a curated record.
GUCUUGUGUUUCUGCAAUAGGAUUGAUUGUGAGAUUAGGAAUGUAGACCCUGAUAAAUUUAGUUAUAUAGUGUUGAUUAAGGACAUGAAAAAAUGUGUGGCCGAGGAGAAUGAGGAAGUAUACCUUUAUCCUAAUGAGAAGUUUUGGGUAGAAGCUAGGUUACCUUUGUCUAGGGAGAAAUAUUUAUUACACAAUGAUCAGGAUAUAGCCUUUAUUUUCCAGCAAUAUGGGUUGAAAGGGUUAAUAGACAUUAAGUUGUUUGUUAAAGCAGUACCUGUAAAAAGUAUUGAACCCUUACUAGCUUUACUGAGACUGUUAUUCCAAAUACCAGGACAUGUCAGAAAGGAUACAAGGUGACCCUACUAGAAAUAUUUGGCCUUGCUGUUCCAGUAUUUGUAAUGAUGAUGUCAAAGGUGGCCUUUUACACUCUCAUUACAUAUUUUGCUGCAUCGAUGGGAACACUCACCUUGGCUACUCAUCAAGUCAUGGUUCAAACAUUCCUCAUGUGUUCAGUGUGGGGUGGGCCUCUGUCUCAAACUGCACAAUCAUUUAUGCCUGAGUUUUUAUAUGGAUUAAAAUGGAGCUUGGCAAAGUACCUGUAGAAAAUAUUGAGUCCUUACUAGCUUUGCUGAGACUGCUAUUCCGAAUACUAGGACAUGUCAGAGAGGAUACAAUGUGACCCUCCUGGAAAUAUUUGGCCUUGCUGCUCCAGUAGUUGUAAGGAUGAUGUCAAAGGUGGCCUUUUACACUCAUUACAUAUUUUGCUACGUUGAUGGGAACACUCACCUUGGCUGCUCAAGUCUCACUGUGCAACACAAUUUUGUCAAUCUGAAAGUUGAAGAUCUGCAAAAGAAUGAGUGGUGUUCUUCCAAGUUCAUUUCUUUCAAUCAAAACCUCAACCCCACUUCAUUUCUGGUGCUUCUUUGAAUCCAGCACAUAAUGUCUUUUGAACAUUAGCCCAAGUAAUCUAUGUGGGAAAGUUCAAGUUUCUAAGCAUCAGAGGACUCUUACAGUUAGAGCAGUUGGGGAUGAUGGAAGACAAAUUAGUGCAAAUAUCUUCGUUGGUGGCUUUAUAUUGGGAGGAAUAGUUGUUGGGACAUUAGGCUGUAUAUAUGCUCCCCAGGUAUGAAAUGCAUGUUUAUGUUUUGGUACCACUGAAUUUGGUACCUUUUGUGUAAGGUUUAUGUUCUUGUUGAUAAAAAUGAGUUGAGUGGCAUCCCUCCUUUGCCUUCUCUAUCUGCUAUAUCUGAUUGGCUAUUUUGUCAUAUUUUAUCCAUCAAAUGGCAAAGAUUGUUUGUUCAGUUUUUGGUUUAAGAUACCAGGUGAAUGUUUAUAUUAACUGGUUGAAUAAAAGACUGAUGUAUGAUCCCUCAGCUAGACUUUGAUGGACUAUUUGCCUACAGUUCACUUGUGGCUUAUGGACUAUGGCUCGUCCACUGCUCUGAAAUUUUAUUGACUUGAGUUUGAGUGUGAGAUGCAUGUCGUUCUCUUUUAUAUAUUUAACUCACCUUGGCUGCUCAUCAAGUUAGUUGUAUUGAAAACAUUCCUAAUGUGUUCAGUGUGGGGUGAACCUCUGUCUCAAACCGCACAAUCAUUUAUGCCUGAGCUUUUAUAUGGAAUAAAACGGGGCUUCUCAAGAGUUAGUGCUGCUCAUUUCUAUUUGUCAUUACAGCCAUCCUCUUCUUUAAAAUUUAGUUCUAUUGAAAGCAUGAAUAAAUGAGAGUUUGGUGAUUCCAUGUGGAAUUCAUCACCUUCACCUUCCCUUAUAGACAAUACUUGAAAUAUAAGUUUUUUUUUGCAACAUUUGUUUCCUAGGUGAUUUGUUAUGUGUUCAAUCUUGAAUAUGAGUAAUGAUUUUGAACGGGUUCAGAUGCUGCUAAAGUCACCUGUAAUCAUUGGAGGUAUUCUUGGAUUGUUUUCAGCGGUCGUUGGAACAUCUCUACCUUUGUUGUUCCCCAAUUUCUUUACACCUGAUCAGACGAUCGUAAGAGAGAGUGUUGGUACCAUACUUUCUUUGCAUUAUUGGCGAGUGGCGACGCCCUGCAUUCUAAGCCUUAAACAAUGUGUUGUCGACUAAUUCAGCAUAAUCGUUGGAAGAUUUCUUUAAGUUAUUAAUUCCUUAUUGGGUAUAGGCUUAAGAAUAAGAAUCAUUGUAAUACUAGGUUUUAGUCAUUUAAACCUAAUAUAUAAAUAUACUUUUCUCUUGUAAUGAGUGAUAGCAAUCAUAAGGCAUAUUCAUUCAUUGUAAACGAGAGAUGUGAGACAGUAUUGCGAUAAUAUUAACUUAGUUGGAC